RNAcentral lists this ribosomal RNA (497 nucleotides) under uncultured Glomeromycotina. RNAcentral describes it as "partial small subunit ribosomal RNA". It matches the Rfam family "Eukaryotic small subunit ribosomal RNA", at positions 591 to 1092 of the family's 1831-position model. Lineage: Eukaryota; Fungi; Glomeromycota. The record is from RNAcentral.
CCAAUAGCGUAUAUUAAAGUUGUUGCAGUUAAAAAGCUCGUAGUUGAAUUUCAGGCCUGGCUGGACGGUCCGCCUUUUGGGUGAGUACUGUCUGUGGUCGGGUCCUACCUUCUGGCGAAGCGUCAUGGCCUUAACCGGCCGUGGCGGGGAACCAGGACUUUUACUGUGAAAAAAUUAGAGUGUUCAAAGCAGGCAGUCGCUUGAAUACAUUAGCAUGGAAUAAUGGAAUAGGACAAUGGUUCUAUUUGUUGGUUUCUAGGACCGUUGUAAUUAUUAAUAGGGAUAGGUGGGGGCAUUAGUAUUCAAUUGUCAGAGGUGAAAUUCUUGGAUUUAUUGAAGACUAACUACUGCGAAAGCAUUUGCCAAGGAUGUUUUCAUUAAUCAAGAACGAAAGUUAGGGGAUCGAAGACGAUCAGAUACCGUCGUAGUCUUAACCAUAAACUAUGCCGACUAGGAAUCGGGCGAUGUUGACAAAAUGACGCGCUCGGCACCUCAUG